CAGCCGCCGCGGCAAUACCGGCGGCCCGAGUGGCGGCCACUAUUAUUGGGCUUAAAGCGUCCGUAGCCGGGUUGGUUAGUCUCCCGGGAAAUCUGGCCGCUUAACGGUCAGAAUUCCGGGAGAUACUGCCAGCCUAGGGACCGGGAGAGGCCGAGGGGCUUCCCGGAGUAGGGGUGAAAUCCUAUAAUCCCGGGAGGACCACCUGUGGCGAAGGCGCUCGGCUGGAACGGGUCCGACGGUGAGGGACGAAGGCCAGGGGAGCAAACCGGAUUAGAUACCCGGGUAGUCCUGGCUGUAAACGAUGCGGACUUUGUGUCGGACAAGCUAUGAGCUUGUCCGGUGCCGGAGGGAAACCGUUAAGUCCGCCGCCUGGGGAGUACGGCCGCAAGGCUGAAACUUAAAGGAAUUGGCGGG
RNAcentral lists this ribosomal RNA (414 nucleotides) under uncultured microorganism. RNAcentral describes it as "bacterial SSU rRNA". It matches the Rfam family "Archaeal small subunit ribosomal RNA", at positions 459 to 872 of the family's 1478-position model. The record is from RNAcentral.